RNAcentral lists this unclassified non-coding RNA (338 nucleotides) under soil metagenome. Its description in RNAcentral is "partial contains 5.8S ribosomal RNA, internal transcribed spacer 2, and large subunit ribosomal RNA". The stretch from base 1 to 120 matches the Rfam family "5.8S ribosomal RNA", at positions 35 to 154 of the family's 154-position model. The record is from RNAcentral.
GAUGAAGAACGUAGUGAAAUGCGAUAACUAAUGUGAAUUGCAGAAUUCAGUGAAUCAUCGAGUCUUUGAACGCACAUUGCGCCCCCUGGUAUUCCGGGGGGCAUGCCUGUCCGAGCGUCAUUGCUGCCCUCAAGCACGGCUUGUGUGUUGGGCUCCGUCCCCCCGGGGACGGGCCCGAAAGGCAGCGGCGGCACCGAGUCCGGUCCUCGAGCGUAUGGGGCUUUGUCACCCGCUCUGUAGGCCCGGCCGGCGCCAGCCGACAACCCAUCAUCCUUUUCAGGUUGACCUCGGAUCAGGUAGGGAUACCCGCUGAACUUAAGCAUAUAAUAAGCGGAGGA